AUUUAGGACGUGGAGGCAACAAUUCAUUGUGCAAAGUGGCUCUCAAUGGUUGGAGGAUCUAGCACUGGAGACCAAAGAAUCAGAUGUGGUUGGUAAUUCUGUAACCAAGACACAGAAAAAUGUCACAACUAAGAGGUCUCUCUCACAUAAUAAGAAAAUCGCCAGGAAGCUGCUCCUUGAUGAAGGCACUGGAUACGAAGAUGAUGGCUGCGCAGAGUAGAGUUGGAUCUCUCGGAAAGGCAUCGUCAAGUGUGAUGUGUUUGGUCCUUUAACCUAUGUUUGUUGGAGAGAUGAGCAUCGGGCAAUGGGUUUGUCAAGCAUUACGAACUGAACUUGCCUCUGUUCUGGACAAGCAGCUAUCGCAAGAUGCUUGCUCCCUCUGCCUGUUACUUGAACGAACUUCUUUCAGCAAUAUUUGGAUUUAAAUAUUAAACAAAUGCAUAUAGUUAAUAUGUCGAUAAUGUACUUUGCCACGACCUAUGUUAAUAUGUUGAUGACGUGCUUCCUAC
This is a long non-coding RNA of Panicum virgatum (switchgrass), 509 nucleotides long. RefSeq lists it as uncharacterized. The record is from RefSeq and is a predicted model, not a curated record. NCBI's taxonomy places the organism in Eukaryota, Viridiplantae, Streptophyta, Magnoliopsida, Poales, Poaceae. The transcript has 3 exons.